RNAcentral lists this unclassified non-coding RNA (328 nucleotides) under soil metagenome. RNAcentral's name for it is "partial contains 5.8S ribosomal RNA, internal transcribed spacer 2, and large subunit ribosomal RNA". The stretch from base 1 to 120 matches the Rfam family "5.8S ribosomal RNA", at positions 35 to 154 of the family's 154-position model. The record is from RNAcentral.
GAUGAAGAACGCAGCGAAAUGCGAUAAGUAAUGUGAAUUGCAGAAUUCAGUGAAUCAUCGAAUUUUUGAACGCACAUUGCGCCCCUUGGUAUUCCGAGGGGCAUGCCCGUUCGAGCGUCAUUAUACCCCUCAAGCCUAGCUUGGUGUUGGGGCCUGCUGUUACCGGCAGCCCUUAAAAUCAGUGGCGGUGCCAUCUGGCUCUAAGCGUAGUAAUACUUCUCGCUACAGGGUCCCGGUGGAUGCUUGCCAUCAACCCCUAAUUUUCUAUGGUUGACCUCGGAUCGGGUAGGGAUACCCGCUGAACUUAAGCAUAUCAAUAAGCGGAGGA